Molecule: long non-coding RNA, 578 nt
Filed under: Phoenix dactylifera (date palm)
Lineage: Eukaryota; Viridiplantae; Streptophyta; Magnoliopsida; Arecales; Arecaceae
Description: long non-coding RNA (PDAC_LNC020664)
Source: RNAcentral
AUUAAUAUGCAAAUUGGCUACAAGCCUAAUAAGCAUUUAAACAAAGUUUACACAAAAGAAAUUUAGGAACAUUCAUCUUCGGUUGGCAUGAAAUGUCUAUCCUAAACCAAUAUGGCAGGACACUGCAUCUUCCCUAAGCAUGGGUGAUCUUUUAUUAACUUAGUGAUCAUGAAGAAUAGUUGUAUAAAUAUCAUACUUAAAAUCACAAAAAUUAAAUAUGACAAGAAAUAAAAUAUUCAUUAAGAACAAAAUAAAGUUUAUACAAUUUCAAGAAAAAAUACAAAACUUUUAUUCCUUUGUUAGGGCUGCAUCCAGCCCUAGUGCAGAGCUCAGCUUUCCAUGGUACGGGGGAUAGCAGCAGCGACGCAGAAGGCCUUCAUUACGACUGGGUUCUCCCUCCUUUUUCCCGUCGGCUCCCACUCCCUCUUGGACUUCUGUGGGAAGGCAUUCCUGAAAUACCCAAACCAUUCUCCCUCUUCAAGUAAGCUAUUCCAAGGAGUCGCCGAAGAGAAGUGGAACUGAACCGAAGUUGCCUCCCCUGUUUCAUGCCUGGGCCUUUUAUAGGCUGCCAUCUCCCC